GGGUAACCUUUUCAGCAUCGGAACCUGGGGUAACCAUGUUGGGUUUCAAGAGAGUUCCUUCAAGCAGGACUUUGUGAUCAUUGAGUGCCUUGUAGCAAGCAGCAAGUACACGUUCGGUCACAUCAGCACACUUGUUAAUAUCAUGAGGUCCAUCGACCAAAAUCUCAGGCUCAACAAUUGGCACCAAGCCAUUCUCCUGGCAGAUUAUGGCAUAACGAGCCAAACCAUUGGCAUUCUCAUUGAUAGCCAGCUGAGAGGGCUCAUUAGGACCAAUCUUCAGCACUGCACGCCAUUUUGCAAACCUGGCACCAG
This 312-nucleotide long non-coding RNA is filed under the name Daucus carota (carrot). RNAcentral's name for it is "long non-coding RNA (DCAR_LNC003151)". The record is from RNAcentral. Lineage: Eukaryota; Viridiplantae; Streptophyta; Magnoliopsida; Apiales; Apiaceae.